UACGAAGGGGGCUAGCGUUGCUCGGAAUGACUGGGCGUAGAGGGCGCGUAGGCGGAUGGCACAGUCAGAUGUGAAAUUCCCGGGCUUAACCUGGGGGCUGCAUUUGAUACGUGUUGUCUAGAGUGAGGAAGAGGGUCGUGGAAUUCCCAGUGUAGAGGUGAAAUUCGUAGAUAUUGGGAAGAACACCGGUGGCGAAGGCGGCAACCUGGUCCUUGACUGACGCUGAGGCGCGAAAGCGUGGGGAGCAAACAGG
This 253-nucleotide ribosomal RNA is filed under the name uncultured bacterium. RNAcentral's name for it is "partial 16S ribosomal RNA". It matches the Rfam family "Bacterial small subunit ribosomal RNA", at positions 524 to 776 of the family's 1533-position model. The record is from RNAcentral.